This 120-nucleotide ribosomal RNA is filed under the name Sorghum bicolor (sorghum). Lineage: Eukaryota; Viridiplantae; Streptophyta; Magnoliopsida; Poales; Poaceae. The record is from RNAcentral.
GGAUGUCGAUCAUACCAGCACUAAAGCACCGGAUCCCAUCAGAACUCCGAAGUUAAGCGUGCUUGGGCGAGAGUAGUACUAGGAUGGGUGACCUCCUGGGAAGUCCUCGUGUUGCAUUCC